Molecule: ribosomal RNA, 463 nt
Filed under: uncultured bacterium
Lineage: Bacteria
Description: partial 16S ribosomal RNA
Rfam family: Bacterial small subunit ribosomal RNA
Source: RNAcentral
GACGAACGCUGGCGGCGUGCUUAACACAUGCAAGUCGAACGGAAAGGCCUUUUCGGAGGUACUCGAGUGGCGAACGGGUGAGUAACACGUGGGUGAUCUGCCCUGCACUCUGGGAUAAGCCUGGGAAACUGGGUCUAAUACCGGAUAGGACCGCACAUUAGUGUGUGUGGUGGAAAGUUUUUUCGGUGUAGGAUGAGCCCGCGGCCUAUCAGCUUGUUGGUGGGGUAAUGGCCUACCAAGGCGGCGACGGGUAGCCGGACUGAGAGGUUGGUCGGCCACAGUGGGACUGAGAUACGGCCCAGACUCCUACGGGAGGCAGCAGUGGGGAAUAUUGCACAAUGGGCGCAAGCCUGAUGCAGCGACGCCGCGUGGGGGAUGACGGCCUUCGGGUUGUAAACUCCUUUCGCCAGGGACGAAGCGUUUUGUGACGGUACCUGGAGAAGAAGCACCGGCUAACUACGUG